Molecule: ribosomal RNA, 474 nt
Filed under: Veillonellaceae bacterium oral taxon 155
Lineage: Bacteria; Bacillati; Bacillota; Negativicutes; Veillonellales; Veillonellaceae
Description: bacterial SSU rRNA
Rfam family: Bacterial small subunit ribosomal RNA
Source: RNAcentral
GACGAACGCUGGCGGCGUGCUUAACACAUGCAAGUCGAACGGAGCUAUUUAUUUCGGUAGAUAGCUUAGUGGCAAACGGGUGAGUAACGCGUAGGCAACCUGCCCUCAGGAUGGGGACAACGGCCCGAAAGAGCCGCUAAUACCGAAUGACGUAACUCUUCCACAUGGAAGAGAUACUAAAGAUGGGUCAAACCAUCGCCUAAGGAUGGGCCUGCGUCUGAUUAGCCAGUUGGUGAGGUAACGGCUCACCAAAGCGACGAUCAGUAGCCGGUCUGAGGGGAUGAACGGCCACAAUGGGACUGAGACACGGCCCAUACUCCUACGGGAGGCAGCAGUGGGGAAUUUUCCGCAAUGGGCGAAAGCCUGACGGAGCAACGCCGCGUGAGUGAAGAAGGUCUUCGGAUCGUAAAGCUCUGUUGUCGGGGACGAAAGGAAAGGGGAGGCAAUGCCCUUUUCAAGACGGUACCCGACGAG